Molecule: non-coding RNA, 209 nt
Organism: Danio rerio (zebrafish)
Lineage: Eukaryota; Metazoa; Chordata; Actinopteri; Cypriniformes; Danionidae
Source: RefSeq, a predicted model, not a curated record
ACUAGUGUAAACGGGGCCUAAUAGGUUAAUCAUGCUAGCGUGAGCGAAGAGAAGACACGUUGCUGUGCGUUUUAUGGAAAAAGGAGGCUUAAUCCUGCACAAUUUAUUUAAUAGAACCCUUUGGGAAAGCGGAGCGAGUUUCACGGUGCUACGCAACGAAAGUUUAAUGGCUCUCGUCUUGAGCAUAAUAAAGAAUCAAGCACCCGUCA